CUGGCGGCAGGCCUAACACAUGCAAGUCGAGCGAGACCUUCGGGUCUAGCGGCGGACGGGUUAGUAACGCGUGGGAACGUACCCUUUUCUACGGAAUAGCCUUUGGAAACGAAGAGUAAUACCGUAUACGCCCUUUGGGGGAAAGAUUUAUCGGAGAAGGAUCGGCCCGCGUUAGAUUAGAUAGUUGGUGGGGUAACGGCCUACCAAGUCUACGAUCUAUAGCUGGUUUUAGAGGAUGAUCAGCAACACUGGGACUGAGACACGGCCCAGACUCCUACGGGAGGCAGCAGUGGGGAAUCUUAGACAAUGGGCGCAAGCCUGAUCUAGCCAUGCCGCGUGAGUGAUGAAGGCCUUAGGGUCGUAAAGCUCUUUCGCCUGUGAUGAUAAUGACAGUAGCAGGUAAAGAAACCCCGGCUAACUCCGUGCCAGCAGCCGCGGUAAUACGGAGGGGGUUAGCGUUGUUCGGAAUUACUGGGCGUAAAGCGCACGUAGGCGGAUUGGAAAGUUGGGGGUGAAAUCCCGGGGCUCAACCCCGGAACUGCCUCCAAAACUAUCAGUCUAGAGUUCGAGAGAGGUGAGUGGAAUUCCAAGUGUAGAGGUGAAAUUCGUAGAUAUUUGGAGGAACACCAGUGGCGAAGGCGGCUCACUGGCUCGAUACUGACGCUGAGGUACGAAAGUGUGGGGGAGCAAACAGGAUUAGAUACCCUGGUAGUCCACACCGUAAACGAUGAAUGCCAGACGUCAGCAAGCCUGCUUGUUGGUGUCACACCUAACGGAUUAAGCAUUCC
This 788-nucleotide ribosomal RNA is filed under the name uncultured marine bacterium. RNAcentral's name for it is "bacterial SSU rRNA". It matches the Rfam family "Bacterial small subunit ribosomal RNA", at positions 36 to 870 of the family's 1533-position model. The record is from RNAcentral.